Molecule: ribosomal RNA, 388 nt
Filed under: uncultured bacterium
Lineage: Bacteria
Description: bacterial SSU rRNA
Rfam family: Bacterial small subunit ribosomal RNA
Source: RNAcentral
GGCAGACGGGUGAGUAACGCGUGGGAACGUGCCCUUCAGUUCGGAAUAACCCAGGGAAACUUGGGCUAAUACCGGAUACGUGCGAGAGCAGAAAGAUUUAUCGCUGAAGGAUCGGCCCGCGUCUGAUUAGCUAGUUGGUAGGGUAAUGGCCUACCAAGGCGACGAUCAGUAGCUGGUCUGAGAGGAUGAUCAGCCACAUUGGGACUGAGACACGGCCCAAACUCCUACGGGAGGCAGCAGUGGGGAAUAUUGGACAAUGGGCGCAAGCCUGAUCCAGCCAUGCCGCGUGAGUGAUGAAGGCCUUAGGGUUGUAAAGCUCUUUCGGCGGGGACGAUGAUGACGGUACCCGCAGAAGAAGCCCCGGCUAACUUCGUGCCAGCAGCCGCGG